Molecule: ribosomal RNA, 497 nt
Filed under: uncultured bacterium
Lineage: Bacteria
Description: partial 16S ribosomal RNA
Rfam family: Bacterial small subunit ribosomal RNA
Source: RNAcentral
GAUGAACGCUGGCGGCGUGCCUAAUACAUGCAAGUCGAGCGAACAGACGAGGAGCUUGCUCCUCUGACGUUAGCGGCGGACGGGUGAGUAACACGUGGAUAACCUACCUAUAAGACUGGGAUAACUUCGGGAAACCGGAGCUAAUACCGGAUAAUAUAUUGAACCGCAUGGUUCAAUAGUGAAAGACGGUUUUGCUGUCACUUAUAGGUGGAUCCGCGCCGCAUUAGCUAGUUGGUAAGGUAACGGCUUACCAAGGCGACGAUGCGUAGCCGACCUGAGAGGGUGAUCGGCCACACUGGAACUGAGACACGGUCCAGACUCCUACGGGAGGCAGCAGAAGGGAAUCUUCCGCAAUGGGCGAAAGCCUGACGGAGCAACGCCGCGUGAGUGAUGAAGGUCUUCGGAUCGUAAAACUCUGUUAUUAGGGAAGAACAAAUGUGUAAGUAACUAUGCACGUCUUGACGGUACCUAAUCAGAAAGCCACGGCUAACUACGUG